Long non-coding RNA from Argentina anserina (silverweed cinquefoil), 1005 nucleotides. RefSeq lists it as uncharacterized. Lineage: Eukaryota; Viridiplantae; Streptophyta; Magnoliopsida; Rosales; Rosaceae. The transcript is spliced from 2 exons. The record is from RefSeq and is a predicted model, not a curated record.
UUAACGUGUUCUUUCAUUUUCCUUCCUUCAAUCCUUGAUUCUCUGGUUUUAGUUUUGCUUUCAAUAACCCAUGAAUUUCUAACAUGGUAUCCGAUCCGGUACCAUUUGGCUUCUUUUUAUCCUUUUUGCUUCCGCAAUUUCAAUUUCAUUAGGUUUCACUUUUCAAUUUCCCCCAAUUCCAAAACCCUAACCUCAAAUCUUUGCAUAUCUUAUCCCGUCGUCUCCUCCGAACUAGCUCGGCAUUGGUUUUAGACUUUGAUUUGCUUCUCUGGUUCAUUGAAGCUCUGCCUUCUUCUCCAGUUUUUGUCUAUACAUAUUGCAUUUCCAACAGAAUCUCAUGAGAAAUGACUGGUUUCAAAGCCAUUAUUGUAACUAUAGCUGUAACAAUGAAGUGGGGAAAACUCUGAGCAAUGAUGGGGAUGAUGGUCCUGUUCUUAUCAGAGAAGAGAAAUAACCCAAUUCAAGUUUAGAAGGCCUUAUGGUUGUGGCUACUGUUGGGUUGGCGGUAUUGGGUGAUUGGAAUUUGCUUUAUCAGCUUGGCUAUUUUGUGAAACGGGAAUAAAUUGGGCUUUGGGGUAUAGAGCUUAAAUGGUUCGUGGUUGUAGUGUUAGUUCUUGACAGCAACAUUACAUGCAGUUCAGCAUUGAACAUGUAUAUUCCAUUUGCAUCCACCAAUGCCUCCAGAAGGUACUUAUCGCAAUACUCUGCUGAAUUUUGGCCUUUGCAGGAUAGUCAAGUUGCAAUCUGAGGUUUUGAGAUAUUUCCUUUUGUAGAAACUGUUCUAAUUUGUGCCAUAGGCACCUUUUAGUAAUGAAUUUUGGCCGUUUUGUUAUUGUUUUAUUGUUUAUUAACUUCUGUUGAAUUUAUAGAAUUUUAUGAUACUUUGUUACCCCAAUCAUGGAAUAAUUUCCUUUGUAUAAUAGUUGUUUGAUGUGAGUCAACUUGCGUGGAUUGAUAGUAUUUAUAGUUCUUAAAUUGAUAUGAUGGAAGCUCCUUUCAUUGGUA